This 492-nucleotide ribosomal RNA is filed under the name uncultured bacterium. RNAcentral describes it as "partial 16S ribosomal RNA". It matches the Rfam family "Bacterial small subunit ribosomal RNA", at positions 29 to 507 of the family's 1533-position model. The record is from RNAcentral.
AGUGAACGCUGGCGGUAGGCCUAACACAUGCAAGUCGAACGGCAGCGCAGUAAGAGCUUGCUCUUACGGGUGGCGAGUGGCGGACGGGUGAGGAAUACAUCGGAAUCUACUUUUUCGUGGGGGAUAACGUAGGGAAACUUACGCUAAUACCGCAUACGACCUACGGGUGAAAGCAGGGGAUCUUCGGACCUUGCGCGAUUGAAUGAGCCGAUGUCGGAUUAGCUAGUUGGCGGGGUAAAGGCCCACCAAGGCGACGAUCCGUAGCUGGUCUGAGAGGAUGAACAGCCACACUGGCACUGAGACACGGUCCAGACUCCUACGGGAGGCAGCAGUGGGGAAUAUUGGAAAAUGGGCGCAAGCCUGAUCCAGCCAUACCGCGUGGGUGAAGAAGGCCUUCGGGUUGUAAAGCCCUUUUGUUGGGAAAGAAAAGCAGCAGGUUAAUACCCCGCUGUUCUGACGGUACCCAAAGAAUAAGCACCGGCUAACUUCGUG